GACGAACGCUGGCGGCGUGCCUAACACAUGCAAGUCGAACGGGACCAGGGGCAACUCUGGUUCAGUGGCGGACGGGUGCGUAACACGUGAGGAACAUGACCUUCGGCGGGGGAGUAGCCGGCCCAACGGCCGGGUAAUACCGCGUACGACCACUCGGGACGAUCCCUAGGUGGUGAAAGACAGCAAUGCGCCGAUGGAGUGCCUCGCGGCCUAUCAGCUAGUUGGUGAGGUAACGGCUCACCAAGGCGACGACGGGUAGCUGGUCUGAGAGGAUGGCCAGCCACAUUGGGACUGAGACACGGCCCAGACUCCUACGGGAGGCAGCAGUGGGGAAUCUUGCGCAAUGGGCGAAAGCCUGACGCAGCGACGCCGCGUGAGGGAUGACGGCCUU
RNAcentral lists this ribosomal RNA (391 nucleotides) under uncultured bacterium. RNAcentral's name for it is "bacterial SSU rRNA". It matches the Rfam family "Bacterial small subunit ribosomal RNA", at positions 28 to 418 of the family's 1533-position model. The record is from RNAcentral.